CAAUAGCGUAUAUUAAAGUUGUUGCAGUUAAAAAAGCUCGUAGUUGGAGUUCAGAGUGAGCUCAGCCGGUCGGCCUUAUGGGUCAGAACUGGUUGACUCUCUCUUGUUUGUGGAUCCCUUCGGAGUUAACUCUUCGGAUGUGGAGUCCACAUCGUUUACCUUGAAAAAAAUUAGAGUGUUCAAAGCAGGCGUUUUGCUUGAAUAUAUUAGCAUGGAAUAAUAGAAUAGGACUUCGGUACUAUUUUGUUGGUUUCUAGGACCGAAGUAAUGAUUAAUAGGGACAGUUGGGGGCAUUCAUAUUCCAUUGUCAGAGGUGAAAUUCUUGGAUUAACGGAAGAUGAACUACUGCGAAAGCAUCUGCCAAGGAUGUUUUCAUUGAUCAAGAACGAAAGUUAGGGGAUCGAAGAUGAUCAGAU
RNAcentral lists this ribosomal RNA (416 nucleotides) under uncultured eukaryote. Its description in RNAcentral is "bacterial SSU rRNA". It matches the Rfam family "Eukaryotic small subunit ribosomal RNA", at positions 592 to 1013 of the family's 1831-position model. The record is from RNAcentral.